GAUGAACGCUGGCGGCGUGCCUAAUACAUGCAAGUCGAGCGAACAGACGAGGAGCUUACUCCUUUGACGUUAGCGGCGGACGGGUGAGUAACACGUGGGUAACCUACCUAUAAGACUGGGAUAACUUCGGGAAACCGGAGCUAAUACCGGAUAAUAUUUCGAACCGCAUGGUUCGAUAGUGAAAGAUGGCUUUGCUAUCACUUAUAGAUGGACCUGCGCCGUAUUAGCUAGUUGGUAAGGUAACGGCUUACCAAGGCAACGAUACGUAGCCGACCUGAGAGGGUGAUCGGCCACACUGGAACUGAGACACGGUCCAGACUCCUACGGGAGGCAGCAGUAGGGAAUCUUCCGCAAUGGGCGAAAGCCUGACGGAGCAACGCCGCGUGAGUGAUGAAGGUCUUCGGAUCGUAAAACUCUGUUAUUAGGGAAGAACAAACGUGUAAGUAACUGUGCACGUCUUGACGGUACCUAAUCAGAAAGCCACGGCUAACUACGUG
RNAcentral lists this ribosomal RNA (497 nucleotides) under uncultured bacterium. RNAcentral describes it as "partial 16S ribosomal RNA". It matches the Rfam family "Bacterial small subunit ribosomal RNA", at positions 28 to 507 of the family's 1533-position model. The record is from RNAcentral.